Molecule: ribosomal RNA, 253 nt
Filed under: uncultured prokaryote
Description: partial 16S ribosomal RNA
Rfam family: Bacterial small subunit ribosomal RNA
Source: RNAcentral
ACGUAGGUGGCAAGCGUUGUCCGGAAUUAUUGGGCGUAAAGCGCGCGCAGGCGGUCCUUUAAGUCUGAUGUGAAAGCCCACGGCUCAACCGUGGAGGGUCAUCGGAAACUGGUUUGCUUGAGUGUCGGAGGGGAUAGCGGAAUUGCUAAUGUAGAGGUGAAAUUCGUAGAUAUUAGCAGGAACACCGGUGGCGAAGGCGGCUAUCUGGACGACAACUGACGCUGAGGCGCGAAAGCGCGGGGAUCAAACAGGA